CCUACGGGUGGCAGCAGUGAGGAAUAUUGGUCAAUGGCCGUAAGGCUGAACCAGCCAAGUCGCGUGAAGGAAGAAGGAUCUAUGGUUUGUAAACUUCUUUUAUAGGGGAAUAAAGGUAUCCACGUGUGGCUAUUUGCAUGUACCCUAUGAAUAAGCAUCGGCUAACUCCGUGCCAGAAGCCGCGGUAAUACGGAGGAUGCGAGCUUUAUCCGGAUUUAUUGUGUUUAAAGGGUGAGUAGGUUGUUUUUUAAGUCAGCGGGGAAAGUUUGUUGCUUAACCAUAAAAUUGCCGUUGAAACUGGAAGACUUGAGUGUGUUUGAGGUAGGCGGAAUGCGUGGUGUAGCGGUUAAAUGCAUAGAUAUCACGCAGAAAUCCGAUUGCGAAGGCAGCUUACUAAGCCAUAACUGACACUGAAGCACGAAAGCGUGGGGAUCAAACAGGAUUAGAUACCCUUGUAGUC
Molecule: ribosomal RNA, 460 nt
Filed under: uncultured bacterium
Lineage: Bacteria
Description: partial 16S ribosomal RNA
Rfam family: Bacterial small subunit ribosomal RNA
Source: RNAcentral